GCCUGCGGAGACAGAGGAACCCUCAGGAACCUGCGAACUUCACAACCCAAAUUCUUCAUCUGCCUGAGGUUCUGAUCCAGACCCUUUGUAGCAGGAGUGGGUUCAUGUUACACGCGUUUCUCACCUGACGACAGAUGAAGUUGCCCAGACUGAGGUGCAGCAGGUGGUGGGUGCUGGAGUCCAGAUCCUCCUUCAGCCUGUGGAGACGAACAUGUGGGUCAUGGUGGAUAAUGUGUUUCUUCUAGCUCCUCAUCAACAAUCACACGACCUUCAUGGUUCCAGUUACCUGUCGACGGUCCGGGAGCAGAUGAGGCUGUAGAGGAACAGGAUGACUCCGUGACCUCCCUCCUCUUUAAACUGGGAAACAAAUGCAAGAUGUGACGUCUCCUCCUCUUCUAUGUGUGAACUGAGCUGCAACUGAGAGACAGAGGAGGCGAAGGUCACCGGAUGCAGCCAGUCCAGAGACAGGCGUCUGGUGUCUCUACCUUCUCCGUGAAGUUGUCCAGCUUGUAGUCCAGGGGAGGAGUGAUGCAGUAGUUCUCCGCCACCAAAGCCACCGUAGCACUGAGCUCCUGUCCGGCCGACCAGAGGCAGUCGGACAGCGCCGCCGCCAGCGCCCGCUCCUGCUGCUCCUGUCCGACCGCGCUGAGGCUGGGAGGAGACACAGCACCAGGACGGACAGAUGUUUAGAAGCGCUGCGCUGCAAGAAGUGCAGCCGCGUCCAGGUACCUGUGCAGGGUUCGUCUCUCCAAGCUGUUCUGAUGCAUGAACAGCAGGUGUUUGAUGACUCGGGCCUGGACCACCAUCUGGAUGGGCCCGGCUCCACCCUGAAACACACCCCACCAGGGGGUCAGAGCUGGUACUGGUUCCAGAUGAGGUCACUGGGUGCCACCUCAGUGAGCUGGGGGGUGACCGGCGUCCCUCCGAGGCCUGGGGAAACCACCAGCCUCCGGGGGAUGGA
Molecule: long non-coding RNA, 961 nt
Organism: Betta splendens (Siamese fighting fish)
Lineage: Eukaryota; Metazoa; Chordata; Actinopteri; Anabantiformes; Osphronemidae
Exons: 3
Source: RefSeq, a predicted model, not a curated record